This 161-nucleotide ribosomal RNA is filed under the name uncultured bacterium. Its description in RNAcentral is "partial 16S rRNA". It matches the Rfam family "Bacterial small subunit ribosomal RNA", at positions 355 to 510 of the family's 1533-position model. The record is from RNAcentral.
UAGGGAAUCUUCCACAAUGGGCGCAAGCCUGAUGGAGCAACACCGCGUGAGUGAAGAAGGGUUUCGGCUCGUAAAGCUCUGUUGUUAAAGAAGAACACGUAUGAGAGUAACUGUUCAUACGUUGACGGUAUUAACCAGAAGUCACGGCUAACUACGUGCCG